CAAAGGUAAAAGGCUAAAAGAAACAGAGUAAGCUUGUUUAGUCCUUUUAGGAUACUAUAACAAAACACCGUGGACUAGGUAUCUUAUAAACAACAGACAUUUAUUGCUCACAGUUCUGGAGGCUGGAAUUCCAAGAUCAAGUCGGGGCAGAUUCAGUGUCUGGUGAGAACCCACUUCCUGGUUCACAGAUGGAGCCUUCUCACUGAGUCCUCACGUGGUAGAAGGGGCAAGGAAGCUCUCUGGGUCCUCUUUUAUGAGGGCACUCGUCCCAUUCAUGAGACUCCACCCUCAUGACCUCCCAAAGGCCCCACCCCUACUAUAUUCUCACAGUAUUUAAUCAGAAACCGUGGCUUCACAUAAGAUGAUGAGCAU
Molecule: long non-coding RNA, 372 nt
Filed under: Homo sapiens (human)
Lineage: Eukaryota; Metazoa; Chordata; Mammalia; Primates; Hominidae
Description: HSALNT0279859
Source: RNAcentral